GUGUCAGCAGCCGCGGUAAUACGGAAGGGGCAAGCGUUGUUCGGAAUCAUUGGGCGUAAAGGGCGCGUAGGUGGUUCUGUAUGUCUACCGUGAAAGCAUACAGCUCAACUGUAUUUUGUCGGUAGAAACUGCAGGACUUGAGGCUGGGAGGGGCUGGUGGAAUUCCCUGUGUAGCGGUGAAAUGCGUAGAGAUGGGGGAGAACACUCGUGGCGAAGGCGGCCAGCUAGACCAGUUCUGACACUGAGGCGCGACAGCGUGGGGAGCAAACAGGAUUAGAUACCCUCGUAGUCC
Molecule: ribosomal RNA, 292 nt
Filed under: uncultured bacterium
Lineage: Bacteria
Description: partial 16S ribosomal RNA
Rfam family: Bacterial small subunit ribosomal RNA
Source: RNAcentral